AACGAACGCUGGCGGCAUGCCUAACACAUGCAAGUCGAACGAGACCUUCGGGUUUAGUGGCGCACGGGUGCGUAACGCGUGGGAACCUGCCCUUAGGCUCGGAAUAACUCCCCGAAAGGGGUGCUAAUACCGGAUAAUGUCUUCGGACCAAAGCUUUAUCGCCGUUGGAUGGGCCCGCGUUGGAUUAGCUAGUUGGUAGGGUAAAAGCCUACCAAGGCGACGAUCCAUAGCUGGUUGGAGAGGAUGAUCAGCGACACUGGGACUGGGACACGGCCCAGACGCCUGCGGGAGGCGGCAGAUGGGAAUAUUGGACAGUGGGCGAGAGCCUGAUCCAGCGAUGCCGCGUGAGUGAUGAAGGCCUUAGGGUUGUAAAGCUCUUUUACCCAGGAUGAUAAUGACAGUACCGGGAGAAUAAGCUCCGGCUAACUCCGUG
This 433-nucleotide ribosomal RNA is filed under the name uncultured bacterium. RNAcentral describes it as "partial 16S ribosomal RNA". It matches the Rfam family "Bacterial small subunit ribosomal RNA", at positions 29 to 507 of the family's 1533-position model. The record is from RNAcentral.